RNAcentral lists this ribosomal RNA (709 nucleotides) under Vibrio parahaemolyticus. Its description in RNAcentral is "bacterial SSU rRNA". It matches the Rfam family "Bacterial small subunit ribosomal RNA", at positions 796 to 1509 of the family's 1533-position model. Lineage: Bacteria; Pseudomonadati; Pseudomonadota; Gammaproteobacteria; Vibrionales; Vibrionaceae. The record is from RNAcentral.
CGGGCCCGAAAGGUCACUUGGAGGUUGUGGCCUUGAGCCGUGGCUUUCGGAGCUAACGCGUUAAGUAGACCGCCUGGGGAGUACGGUCGCAAGAUUAAAACUCAAAUGAAUUGACGGGGGCCCGCACAAGCGGUGGAGCAUGUGGUUUAAUUCGAUGCAACGCGAAGAACCUUACCUACUCUUGACAUCCAGAGAACUUUCCAGAGAUGGAUUGGUGCCUUCGGGAACUCUGAGACAGGUGCUGCAUGGCUGUCGUCAGCUCGUGUUGUGAAAUGUUGGGUUAAGUCCCGCAACGAGCGCAACCCUUAUCCUUGUUUGCCAGCGAGUAAUGUCGGGAACUCCAGGGAGACUGCCGGUGAUAAACCGGAGGAAGGUGGGGACGACGUCAAGUCAUCAUGGCCCUUACGAGUAGGGCUACACACGUGCUACAAUGGCGCAUACAGAGGGCGGCCAACUUGCGAAAGUGAGCGAAUCCCAAAAAGUGCGUCGUAGUCCGGAUUGGAGUCUGCAACUCGACUCCAUGAAGUCGGAAUCGCUAGUAAUCGUGGAUCAGAAUGCCACGGUGAAUACGUUCCCGGGCCUUGUACACACCGCCCGUCACACCAUGGGAGUGGGCUGCAAAAGAAGUAGGUAGUUUAACCUUCGGGGGGACGCUUACCACUUUGUGGUUCAUGACUGGGGUGAAGUCGUAACAGGUAAACCCGUAAAA